RNAcentral lists this ribosomal RNA (424 nucleotides) under uncultured bacterium. RNAcentral describes it as "partial 16S ribosomal RNA". It matches the Rfam family "Bacterial small subunit ribosomal RNA", at positions 359 to 774 of the family's 1533-position model. The record is from RNAcentral.
GAAUCUUCCGCAAUGGACGCAAGUCUGACGGAGCAACGCCGCGUGAACGAAGAAGGUUCUCGGAUAGUAAAGUUCUGUUGUUAGGGAAGAACACGUACCAUUCAAAUAGGAUGGUACCUUGACGGUACCUAACGAGAAAGCCCCCGCUAACUACGCGCCAGCAUCCGCGGAAAUACGUAGGCGGCAAGAGUUGUCCGGAAUUAUUGGGCGUAACGCGCUCGCAGGCGGUUUUUUAAGUCUGAUGUGAAAUCUUGCGGCUCAACCGCAAGCGGUCAUUGGAAACUGGAGAACUUGAGGACAGAAGAGGAGAGUGGAAUUCCACGUGUAGCGGUGAAAUGCGUAGAGAUGUGGAGGAACACCAGUGGCGAAGGCGACUCUCUGGUCUGUAACUGACGCUGAGGAGCGAAAGCGUGGGUAGCGAACA